UGGGGAAUAUUGGACAAUGGGCGCAAGCCUGAUCCAGCCAUGCCGCGUGUGUGAAGAAGGCCUUAUGGUUGUAAAGCACUUUAAGCGAGGAGGAGGCUACUUUAGUUAAUACCUAGAGAUAGUGGACGUUACUCGCAGAAUAAGCACCGGCUAACUCUGUGCCAGCAGCCGCGGUAAUACAGCGGGUGCGAGCGUUAAUCGGAUUUACUGGGCGUAAAGCGUGCGUAGGCGGCUAAUUGAGUCGGAUGUGAAAUCCCCGAGCUUAACUUGGGAAUUGCAUUCGAUACUGGUUAGCUAGAGUGUGGGAGAGGAUGGUAGAAUUCCAGGUGUAACGGUGAAAUGCGUAGAGAUCUGGAGGAAUACAGAUGGCGAAGGCAGCCAUCUGGCCUAACACUGACACUGAGGUACGAAAGCAUGGGGAGCAAACAGG
This 430-nucleotide ribosomal RNA is filed under the name Pseudomonadota bacterium. RNAcentral's name for it is "Proteobacteria bacterium partial 16S ribosomal RNA". It matches the Rfam family "Bacterial small subunit ribosomal RNA", at positions 355 to 776 of the family's 1533-position model. The record is from RNAcentral. Lineage: Bacteria; Pseudomonadati; Pseudomonadota.